RNAcentral lists this transfer RNA (68 nucleotides) under bovine gut metagenome. It matches the Rfam family "tRNA". Rfam says of the family: Transfer RNA (tRNA) molecules are approximately 80 nucleotides in length. Their secondary structure includes four short double-helical elements and three loops (D, anti-codon, and T loops). The record is from RNAcentral.
GGGUCAUAGCCAAGUGGUAAGGCAGUGGACUGCAACUCCUUGAUCGGCGGUUCAAAUCCGUCUGGCCC